UUCCUGGAAUGGCAGCUAUAGAGCUGCAGGAACUCAGACAGGACGGAGUCAACAGUGCAAACAGUGCAGAUAACAGGGUUGGACAGGAGGCUAUUCUGCAUGAUGCUGCAAUGUAACAGUAUAUCUAUCAUCUGUUAUUUGCAAAAGCCCACAGAAUGUAUGAGAAGAUAGAAGUCCUGGUGUGAGCUACCAGCUUCAGCAUGCCCCUGAGGUGGCUCCGAAGGCUUCAGACCUCGAUCAGUGAGCCAGCGCACCUCUCAGGGAUCGUUCGUAAUCACUGCUCUUGUAGCACGGUGUUACCUGACCAGCCUGCCCUCUGAUCUCUUCUUUACUUUGACUGACUGGGUUAGCCAAAAGAAACCAUCGUGUGGAACUUAGAAAUCACUUUGUAUCAUCUAACACAACAAUACGACAAAGUGUGUAACAUGUAUUUGCAUCUAGAUGAUGUAUUAAAUUACUAAAAGUAUAUCCAAUCCUUU
RNAcentral lists this long non-coding RNA (479 nucleotides) under Rattus norvegicus (Norway rat). Its description in RNAcentral is "long non-coding RNA NONRATT019357". The record is from RNAcentral. Lineage: Eukaryota; Metazoa; Chordata; Mammalia; Rodentia; Muridae.